This 449-nucleotide ribosomal RNA is filed under the name uncultured bacterium. RNAcentral's name for it is "partial 16S ribosomal RNA". It matches the Rfam family "Bacterial small subunit ribosomal RNA", at positions 329 to 793 of the family's 1533-position model. The record is from RNAcentral.
GUCCAGACUCCUACGGGAGGCAGCAGUGGGGAAUAUUGCACAAUGGGGGGAACCCUGAUGCAGCGACGCCGCGUGGGCGAGGAAGUAUUUCGGUAUGUAAAGCCCUAUCGGCAGGGAAGAAGAAAUGACGGUACCUGAAUAAGAAGCACCGGCUAAAUACGUGCCAGCAGCCGCGGUAAUACGUAUGGUGCAAGCGUUAUCCGGAUUUACUGGGUGUAAAGGGGGCGCAGACGGCAGCGCAAGCCAGGAGUGAAAGCCCGGGGCCCAACCCCGGGACUGCUCUUGGAACUGCGCGGCUGGAGUGCAGGAGGGGCAGGCGGAAUUCCUGGUGUAGCGGUGAAAUGCGUAGAUAUCAGGAGGAACACCGGUGGCGAAGGCGGCCUGCUGGACUGCGACUGACGUUGAGGCCCGAAAGCGUGGGGAGCAAACAGGAUUAGAUACCCCAGUAC